Molecule: signal recognition particle RNA, 263 nt
Filed under: bacterium
Lineage: Bacteria
Description: Bacterial large signal recognition particle RNA
Rfam family: Bacterial large signal recognition particle RNA
About the family: The signal recognition particle (SRP) is a universally conserved ribonucleoprotein involved in the co-translational targeting of proteins to membranes. Archaeal SRP consists of a 7S RNA and homologues of the eukaryotic SRP19 and SRP54 proteins. In most bacteria, the SRP consists of a 4.5S RNA and the Ffh protein (a homologue of the eukaryotic SRP54 protein).
Source: Rfam by way of RNAcentral
UCGCGCUAAGCGGGGAGGCUGCGGUGCCCUGUAUCUGCAAUCCGCAUAGCAGAGUUGAAUUCCUUUGCCCCGGCCCGCGUUUGUGGGGUUGCGCGCAAAAGGGGACGUUGAUAAGUGGGCCUCGUGCGACGGCGCGUUGUGAACCCCGCCAGGGCGGAAGCAGCAACGGUAAGCAAUUAGUGUCGUGCGCCGCGGGAUACCUGCUUUGAGUUUUUCUUUUGCGUUUCCGCCUGGAAGCGUGUGGUCAAAGCGAGGGUGCGCGA